This 334-nucleotide ribosomal RNA is filed under the name Acanthamoeba sp. MN/TRW22/IRN/T4. RNAcentral's name for it is "SSU rRNA". It matches the Rfam family "Eukaryotic small subunit ribosomal RNA", at positions 786 to 1092 of the family's 1831-position model. Lineage: Eukaryota; Discosea; Longamoebia; Acanthamoebidae. The record is from RNAcentral.
UUUCUGCCACCGAAUACAUUAGCAUGGGAUAAUGGAAUAGGACCCUGUCCUCCUAUUUUCAGUUGGUUUUGGCAGCGCGAGGACUAGGGUAAUGAUUAAUAGGGAUAGUUGGGGGCAUUAAUAUUUAAUUGUCAGAGGUGAAAUUCUUGGAUUUAUGAAAGAUUAACUUCUGCGAAAGCAUCUGCCAAGGAUGUUUUCAUUAAUCAAGAACGAAAGUUAGGGGAUCGAAGACGAUCAGAUACCGUCGUAGUCUUAACCAUAAACGAUGCCGACCAGCGAUUAGGAGACGUUGAAUACAAAACACCACCAUCGGUGCGGUCGUCCUUGGCGUCGG